RNAcentral lists this long non-coding RNA (631 nucleotides) under Coturnix japonica (Japanese quail). Its description in RNAcentral is "lncRNA (ENSCJPG00005007805.1)". Lineage: Eukaryota; Metazoa; Chordata; Aves; Galliformes; Phasianidae. The record is from RNAcentral.
AGUAUUUGGCCACGAGGUUAUUCCCAAAACCACCCACUUUAUUGUAGCUCUGAUGAUGCAGGAGCUACAAAGAUAGCAAAUAUUGCUGUAUUUCUCAGAGGGCAAAGGAAAAGAAAAUAAGGAAGAGCAGAAGAAUAGUGUACAGAGGAUGAGGAGAAAUACUGGUAAGUGUCUUCAGAACAGAAGAUCAAGAGGAAAGGCUCUAUGCAGAGGGUUUCAGAAGAGAGAAGAUAUUUCAUCUGCAUCUCCCACUUCAGAACAAUACUGAAAGCGCAACAUUCAAGCUGCGAUCAGUAAUCAUGAGCCACAGGAACCUGCUCAUUUGUAUUGUAAAUUACACAACUUCUGCCCUUUAUUUCAUAUACAGUUGAUCACUUUUGUCAGGACUGUCAUCAGAGCAUGUGCCUGGGAAGAAAAAGAACAAAAUAAUAAUAAAAAAAGCCAACAAAUCAGCCAUGGAAGUGUAGGAGUGCAUGAAAGAUUUCAGUUGGAAGAAGCUUUGGAUACAAUCUUCCAGAAGGAACCAACACCUUGUGAGGAUAAAAUUAGAGAUGAGACGUUAAUUUCUGAAAUCCAAAUCUGUUGCUAAAAUGUGAAUAAACAAAAUGAUCUGCCAAUUUUAUGACCCGAA